GACGAACGCUGGCGGCGUGCUUAACACAUGCAAGUCGAACGGAAAGGCCCUGCUUUUGUGGGGUGCUCGAGUGGCGAACGGGUGAGUAACACGUGAGUAACCUGCCCUUGACUUUGGGAUAACUUCAGGAAACUGGGGCUAAUACCGGAUAGGAGCUCCUGCUGCAUGGUGGGGGUUGGAAAGUUUCGGCGGUUGGGGAUGGACUCGCGGCUUAUCAGCUUGUUGGUGGGGUAGUGGCUUACCAAGGCUUUGACGGGUAGCCGGCCUGAGAGGGUGACCGGCCACAUUGGGACUGAGAUACGGCCCAGACUCCUACGGGAGGCAGCAGUGGGGAAUAUUGCACAAUGGGCGGAAGCCUGAUGCAGCAACGCCGCGUGCGGGAUGACGGCCUUCGGGUUGUAAACCGCUUUCGCCUGUGACGAAGCGUGAGUGACGGUAAUGGGUAAAGAAGCACCGGCUAACUACGUGCC
RNAcentral lists this ribosomal RNA (470 nucleotides) under uncultured bacterium. Its description in RNAcentral is "partial 16S ribosomal RNA". It matches the Rfam family "Bacterial small subunit ribosomal RNA", at positions 28 to 509 of the family's 1533-position model. The record is from RNAcentral.